Molecule: non-coding RNA, 655 nt
Organism: Pocillopora verrucosa
Lineage: Eukaryota; Metazoa; Cnidaria; Anthozoa; Scleractinia; Pocilloporidae
Source: RefSeq, a predicted model, not a curated record
UUGUCAAAUACCCUCGUCAAAGUCAUUCCUAAUAAGGGCCUUGCGCAGAUCUGAAUACUGAUGCUAAUGGCCGGCUUUUUUAGCUCGUCAAUUCCAUAUGCCCUCAAGGUAUAAAUUCAGUCUACCAGGAUUUUUUUUAUCGACCCACGAACAUUGGUUUUCCGCAUCCCAAAAGACGCAGCCUCGACCAAAGAUUUCAAAUCAAUUUGAAUCUUCUAGAAGAACCCAUUAACCAGGAUCAUUUACUGAUCUCCGUUUACACGUGGAGGAAGACUGGAUCCCGGAACGUCUAUUGAGAUUUUAUCAUUCGUGCUGGCCUUCGGAUUAUUCUCUGUAGCUAUGAUUUUAGCAAUGGCUUUUCACCUCCUGUGCUUUGAAGAAAGAAAGCCGACUGUGAAGGCUGUUUUAAAAAGACACAGCAGACUUAAAAACAUUGCCGACUACACCUUAGUGUGACAUUCAAGCAUGCAAAUUCUCAAAACUGACUAGACAAGGAUAAGUGUGAGAAACUGUACAGCAAAGAGAACUCGUAUAUUGAGACCAUGACAGUGAAAGGGUUAGGCAAAGAAAGGUUCCCGUAGAGAGCAGAAAUGCCGAUCUCCAUGUAAUUAUUUUGAAUUUAUAAAUAUUCAAACAUACUAUUUCAAAUAAAGCG